This 373-nucleotide ribosomal RNA is filed under the name uncultured bacterium. RNAcentral describes it as "partial 16S ribosomal RNA". It matches the Rfam family "Bacterial small subunit ribosomal RNA", at positions 338 to 728 of the family's 1533-position model. The record is from RNAcentral.
CCUACGGGAGGCUGCAGUGGGGAAUAUUGCACAAUGGGGGGAACCCUGAUGCAGCGACGCCGCGUGAGUGAAGAAGUAUUUCGGUAUGGUAAGCUCUAUUAGCAGGGGCGAAAAUGACGGUACGUGAAUAAGAAGCACCGGCUAAUUACGUGCCAGCAGCCGCGGUAAUACGUAGGGAGCAAGCGUUAUCAGGAUUUACUGGGUGUAAAGGGAGCGUAGACGGUUAUGUAAGUCUGAAGUGAAAGCCCAAGGCUCAACAAUGGGACUGCUUUGGAAACUGUCAGACUGGAGUGUAGGAGAGGUAAGCGGAAUGCAUAGUGUAGCGGUGAAAUGCAUAGAGAUCAUACAGAACACCAAUUGCGAAGGCAGCUUA